AAUGAACGCUGGCGGCAGGCCUAACACAUGCAAGUCGAGCGGUCCUUCGGGACAGCGGCGGACGGGUUAGUAACGCGUGGGAACGUGCCUCUCUCUACGGAAUAGCCACUGGAAACGGUGAUUAAUACCGUAUACGCCCGCAAGGGGAAAGAUUUAUCGGAGAGAGAUCGGCCCGCGUUGGAUUAGAUAGUUGGUGGGGUAACGGCCUACCAAGUCGACGAUCCAUAGCUGGUUUGAGAGGAUGAUCAGCAACACUGGGACUGAGACACGGCCCAGACUCCUACGGGAGGCAGCAGUGGGGAAUCUUCGGCAAUGGGGGAAACCCUGACCGAGCCAUGCCGCGUGAACGAUGAAGGCCUUAGGGUUGUAAAGUUCUUUCAUCAGGGAAGAUAAUGACGGUACCUGAAGAAGAAGCCCCGGCUAACUCCG
Molecule: ribosomal RNA, 429 nt
Filed under: uncultured Paracoccaceae bacterium
Lineage: Bacteria; Pseudomonadati; Pseudomonadota; Alphaproteobacteria; Rhodobacterales; Paracoccaceae
Description: bacterial SSU rRNA
Rfam family: Bacterial small subunit ribosomal RNA
Source: RNAcentral